This is a long non-coding RNA of Bactrocera tryoni, 208 nucleotides long. RefSeq lists it as uncharacterized. The transcript is spliced from 2 exons. Lineage: Eukaryota; Metazoa; Arthropoda; Insecta; Diptera; Tephritidae. The record is from RefSeq and is a predicted model, not a curated record.
CUCUUCGUCGAUUUGAAAGCUGCUUUUGACAGCACGAAAAGAUCAUGACGUCUUAAAAAUGGGCUAAACGACUCUCAGAAAUUAUAUCAUCCCUUUUGGAAAACCCGAUAUAUGCAAAUAAUAAUCUUAGCAUGUACCAUAUAAGUUGAAAAACUGUAUUUCCAGCGAAAAUGUAUCUUAACAAUAAUAAUAAUCGUAUAUACAUACA